This 3252-nucleotide ribosomal RNA is filed under the name Drosophila montana. RNAcentral's name for it is "eukaryotic LSU rRNA". The stretch from base 540 to 3252 matches the Rfam family "Eukaryotic large subunit ribosomal RNA", at positions 1 to 2353 of the family's 3401-position model. Lineage: Eukaryota; Metazoa; Arthropoda; Insecta; Diptera; Drosophilidae. The record is from RNAcentral.
ACUCUAAGCGGUGGAUCACUCGGCUCAUGGGUCGAUGAAGAACGCAGCAAACUGUGCGUCAUCGUGUGAACUGCAGGACACAUGAACAUCGACAUUUUGAACGCAUAUCGCAGUCCAUGCUGUUUGGUACUUUAAUUAAUUUUAUAGUGCUGCUUGGACUACAUAUGGUUGAGGGUUGUAAGACUUUGCUAAUUAAGUUGUUUAAAAUUUUUCGAAGUUUUAAGCAUAUGGUAUAUUAAUGGAUAGAUUAUGUGUGUCUGUGAUAUGCAUAAAAUAUUCAUAAUAUUAAUAUAUAUAUGGAUGUACUACUCAUUGUAUAUUUUGUAUGAGAAAACUGAAGAAUUAUAUUUUCUUUUUUCAAAUCAAAUGAAUACUGAGGAAUGUCUAGCAUAAAAGAAAAAUAACAUUUUCCUUCAUCUAGAAUUGCCUCUUAUUAAUGAUUUGAUCAAGGAAUUGUUGUAAAAUUUAUGGAACUUCAGAAGAAAAGUAUUAUCCAUUAUAUUGAACAAUAAAUAAUGUUCAAUUAACAUUGUUUUAUACAACCUCAACUCAUAUGGGACUACCCCCUGAAUUUAAGCAUAUUAAUUAGGGGAGGAAAAGAAACUAACAAGGAUUUUCUUAGUAGCGGCGAGCGAAAAGAAAUCAGUUCAGCACUAAGUCACUUUGUCUAUAUGGCAAAUGUGAGAUGCAGUGUACGGAACAUCAAUAUUCUAGUAUGAGAAGUUAACGAUUUAAGUCCUUCUUAAAUGAGGCCAUUUACCCAUAGAGGGUGCCAGGCCCGUAUAACGUUAAUGAUUACUAGAUGGUGUUUCCAAAGAGUCGUGUUGCUUGAUAGUGCAGCACUAAGUGGGUGGUAAACUCCAUCUAAAACUAAAUAUAACCAUGAGACCGAUAGUAAACAAGUACCGUGAGGGAAAGUUGAAAAGAACUCUGAAUAGAGAGUUAAAUAGUACGUGAAACUGCUUAGAGGUUAAGCCCGAUGAACCUGAAUAUCCGUUAUGGAAAAUUCAUCAUUAGAAUUGUAAUAUUUUAAACAAUAUUAUAAUAAUAGUGUGCAUUUUUUCCAUAUAAGGACAUUGUAAUCUAUUAGCAUAAAUAUUUAUCAUAAAAUUAUGUCUGAUUGCUUAUUUGAAUUAUAUGCUUGCAUUUUAACAUAAAAUAAAAGACAUAAAUUUGAUAAAGUGCUGAUAGAUUUAUAUGAUUACAGUGCGUUAAUUUUUCGGAAUUAUAUAAUGGCAUAAUUAUCAUUGAUAUUUGUGUUUAUUAUAUGCACUUGUAUGAUUAACAAUGCGAAAGAUUCAGGAUACCUUCGGGACCCGUCUUGAAACACGGACCAAGGAGUCUAACAUAUGUGCAAGUUAUUGGGAUAUAAACCUAAUAGCGUAAUUAACUUGACUAUUAAUGGGAUUAGUUUUUUAACUAUUUAUAGUUAAUUAACGCAAUCCCGGGGCGCUCUAUAUAGUUAUGUAUAAUAAUAUUUAUAUUAUUUAUGCCUCUAACUGGAACGUACCUUGAGCAUAUAUGCUGUGACCCGAAAGAUGGUGAACUAUACUUGAUCAGGUUGAAGUCAGGGGAAACCCUGAUGGAAGACCGAAACAGUUCUGACGUGCAAAUCGAUUGUCAGAAUUGAGUAUAGGGGCGAAAGACCAAUCGAACCAUCUAGUAGCUGGUUCCUUCCGAAGUUUCCCUCAGGAUAGCUGGUGCAUUUAACUGUUGUAUAAAAUAAUCUUAUCUGGUAAAGCGAAUGAUUAGAGGCCUUAGGGUCGAAACGAUCUUAACCUAUUCUCAAACUUUAAAUGGGUAAGAACCUUAACUUUCUUGAUAUGAAGUUUAAGGUUAUGAUAUAAUGUGCCCAGUGGGCCACUUUUGGUAAGCAGAACUGGCGCUGUGGGAUGAACCAAACGUAAUGUUACGGUGCCCAAAUUAACAACUCAUACAGAAACCAUGAAAGGCGUUGGUUGCUUAAAACAGCAGGACGGUGAUCAUGGAAGUCGAAAUCCGCUAAGGAGUGUGUAACAACUCACCUGCCGAAGCAACUAGCCCUUAAAAUGGAUGGCGCUUAAGUUGUAUACCUAUACAUUACCGCUAAAGUAGAUGGUUUAUAUUACUUGUAAUAUAAAUUUUGAAACUUUAGUGAGUAGGAAGGUACAAUGGUGUGCAUAGAAGUGUUUGGCGUAAGCCUGCAUGGAGCCGCUAUUGGUACAGAUCUUGGUGGUAGUAGCAAAUAAUCGAAUGAGACCUUGGAGGACUGAAGUGGAGAAGGGUUUCGUGUGAACAGUGGUUGAUCACGAGUUAGUCGGUCCUAAGUUCAAGGCGAAAGCCGAAAAUUUUCAAGUAAAGAAAAAUCUAAAUAUAUUUGUCAUCUAACCGAUUUUUAUACACUUGAAUAAUUUUGAACGAAAGGGAAUACGGUUCCAAUUCCGUAACCUGUUGAGUAUCCGUUUGUUAUUAAAUAUGGGCCUCGUGCUCAUCCUGGCAACAGGAACGACCAUAAAGAAGCCGUCGAGAGGUAUCGGAAGAGUUUUCUUUUCUGUUUUAUAGCCGUACUACCAUGGAAGUCUUUCGCAGAGAGAUAUGGUAGAUGGGCUAGAAGAGCAUGACAUAUACUGUUGUGUCGAUAUUUUCUCCUCGGACCUUGAAAAUUUAUGGUGGGGACACGCAAACUUCUCAACAGGCCGUACCAAUAUCCGCAGCUGGUCUCCAAGGUGAAGAGUCUCUAGUCGAUAGAAUAAUGUAGGUAAGGGAAGUCGGCAAAUUAGAUCCGUAACUUCGGGAUAAGGAUUGGCUCUGAAGAUUGAGAUAGUCGGGCUUGAUUGGGAAACAAUAACAUGGUUUAUGUGCUCGUUCUGGGUAAAUAAAGUUUCUAUCAUUUAUGGUAGUUUCUUGUUCCCCGGAUAGUUUAGUUACGUAGCCAAUUGUGGAACUUUCUUGCUAAAAUUUUUAAGAAUACUAAUUGGGCAACCAAUUAGUUCUUUUAAAUUAUAACGAUUAUCAAUUAACAAUCAAUUCAGAACUGGCACGGACUUGGGGAAUCCGACUGUCUAAUUAAAACAAAGCAUUGUGAUGGCCCUAGCGGGUGUUGACACAAUGUGAUUUCUGCCCAGUGCUCUGAAUGUCAAAGUGAAGAAAUUCAAGUAAGCGCGGGUCAACGGCGGGAGUAACUAUGACUCUCUUAAGGUAGCCAAAUGCCUCGUCAUCUAAUUAGUGACGCGCAUGAAUGGAUUAACGAGAUUCCUACUGUCCCUAUCUACU